UAUUGAGAAGGAUCGCCGAUUCUAUGUCA
Molecule: non-coding RNA, 29 nt
Filed under: Mus musculus (house mouse)
Lineage: Eukaryota; Metazoa; Chordata; Mammalia; Rodentia; Muridae
Source: RNAcentral